RNAcentral lists this ribosomal RNA (239 nucleotides) under uncultured bacterium. RNAcentral's name for it is "partial small subunit ribosomal RNA". It matches the Rfam family "Bacterial small subunit ribosomal RNA", at positions 26 to 286 of the family's 1533-position model. The record is from RNAcentral.
AGGAUAAACGCUGGCGGCGUGCCUAACACAUGCAAGUCGAACGUCCUACGCAAGUAGGGAGUGGCGGACGGGUGAGUAACACGUGGGCAAUCUACCUUUCGGUGAGGAAUACCGGCGAGAAAUCGCCGACAAUACCGCAUACGCUUCGCAAGAAGCAAAGUCGCAAGACGCCGGAGGAGGAGCCUGCGCCCGAUUAGCUGGUUGGUGAGGUAACGGCCCACCAAGGCGACGACGGGUAG